AUGGAGGCCUCGCCGUCUCGCAGCGACAGCUUCUCCCGCGCGUGGCUCGGCUGCAGGGCGUCCAUUGAGCGGCUCGACGCCGACGCUGGCCUCGGGUGCUCGUUCAACAGCUCCACGUCCUUCAUCGAUAUGGACCCCGCGGAGCUCUUCUCCAUGCGGUGGACGUCCUCCGCCGCAGUGCCGGCGGAUGAUGACGAGGAGGCUGCCGAGUUCGACUUUGGCCAGCUGACGUGCGCCGGCGCGCAGUGCUUCUCCCCGCUGCUCGUCGGCGCCGGACAGCCCCUCCUCCCGUGCGAGCCUGGCGUCGUGUCCUACGUGUCGUCCCCCGCUUUCUACUCCGCGCAGAGCACGCCGGCCUCCGCGGUCAGCUCGCGCCGUCGUGGCCGGCACGCGCCGCUGGUGGCGACGCGGAGGAUACUGCUGAGGUACCUGCGCCUCCUGGCGCCGCUGUGCCGGAAGGUGAGGGCGCUGCCGGUGCGGGCGCUCGCGCCGCGGUCGUCGUCCAGGGCUGCUGCCUUCGCCGCGGCGACGUCGUCCCCGGCGCGGCAGUCCACGUCCAGCUACGCGAGCGCCACGGAGUACUGGUGCCACGGCCACGCCGACACCGCCGUCAGCGACGCCAUCCUCUACUGCAAGAAAUCCAUCCAGGGACGACAGGACGUGUAG
This 666-nucleotide ribosomal RNA is filed under the name Triticum aestivum (bread wheat). Its description in RNAcentral is "partial small subunit ribosomal RNA". The record is from RNAcentral. Lineage: Eukaryota; Viridiplantae; Streptophyta; Magnoliopsida; Poales; Poaceae.